AUCCAAAAUCUUAGUUUGUGUAUGGUCUAGAUAUCACCAAGCACCCAAGUAUAAAUACGCCUUACAACUCCCUAAUGGAAACUUAAUAACUUCAACUUAAAUUGCAUACUAACCUAGGAUUUGGGCUGACUUAGUAAUUAAAACUUUGUGUGCUUUUGAAAUUCUUGGCACUUAUGCAUUUGAAAUUAGUUUUUAUAAAAUGAUAAAAUAAAUUCUUUUGGGUAGAGACAGCAGUUUGUGGGUAUCUGAGCCGGAAACCCUCACAAGACAAAACUCGUCCACUAGGGCCACCUAGGGGUUUAAAGCCUUAUUGCAUACGGUAAAUGCAAUCGCGAUUCCUGCGAAAGUGAGUUAGUUUUUUUUAUUUUGCUCGAGGACUAGCAAAAUGUAGGUUGGGGGGUGUGAUAAGUGCUAAAUAAUGCAUAAAUUAAUAUCUUAUUCAUAGCACUUAUCAUUAUUUUAAUUCACAUAUUUUGUAAAUUCAACUAAAAAAAUGUGUUACCUUCAUCACUGUAUUUUAAUAAAUUAUUAAAGGUA
RNAcentral lists this long non-coding RNA (537 nucleotides) under Phoenix dactylifera (date palm). Its description in RNAcentral is "long non-coding RNA (PDAC_LNC003527)". The record is from RNAcentral. Lineage: Eukaryota; Viridiplantae; Streptophyta; Magnoliopsida; Arecales; Arecaceae.